UCGCAAGACCUCUCACUAUAGGAGCGGCCGAUAUCGGAUUAGCUAGUUGGUGGGGUAAAGGCCCACCAAGGCGACGAUCCGUAGCUGGUCUGAGAGGAUGAUCAGCCACACUGGAACUGAGACACGGUCCAGACUCCUACGGGAGGCAGCAGUGGGGAAUUUUGGACAAUGGGGGCAAGCCUGAUCCAGCCAUUCCGCGUGAGUGAAGAAGGCCUUCGGGUUGUAAAGCUCUUUUGGCAGGAAAGAAAUGGUUCGUAUUAAUACUUCGGAUGGAUGACGGUACCUGAAGAAGAAGCACCGGCUAACUACGUGCCAGCAGCCGCGGUAAUACGUAGGGUGCAGGCGUUAAUCGGAAUUACUGGGCGUAAAGCGUGCGCAGGCGGUUUGUUAAGUGAGAUGUGAAAUCCCCGGGCUUAACCUGGGAACUGCGUUUGAAACUUGGGAGACUUGAGUGUGUCAGAGGGGGGUGGAAUUCCACGUGUAGCAGUGAAAUGCGUAGAUAUGUGGAGGAACACCGAUGGCGAAGGCAGCCCCCUGGGCUAACAC
Molecule: ribosomal RNA, 546 nt
Filed under: uncultured bacterium
Lineage: Bacteria
Description: bacterial SSU rRNA
Rfam family: Bacterial small subunit ribosomal RNA
Source: RNAcentral